RNAcentral lists this ribosomal RNA (2989 nucleotides) under Salmonella enterica. Its description in RNAcentral is "23S ribosomal RNA". It matches the Rfam family "Bacterial large subunit ribosomal RNA". Lineage: Bacteria; Pseudomonadati; Pseudomonadota; Gammaproteobacteria; Enterobacterales; Enterobacteriaceae. The record is from RNAcentral. RNAcentral also lists the same sequence under 2 other names.
GGUUAAGCGACUAAGCGUACACGGUGGAUGCCCUGGCAGUCAGAGGCGAUGAAGGACGUGCUAAUCUGCGAUAAGCGCCGGUAAGGUGAUAUGAACCGUUAUAACCGGCGAUUUCCGAAUGGGGAAACCCAGUGUGUUUCGACACACUAUCAUUACGUGAAUACAUAGCGUAAUGAAGCGAACCGGGGGAACUGAAACAUCUAAGUACCCCGAGGAAAAGAAAUCAACCGAGAUUCCCCCAGUAGCGGCGAGCGAACGGGGAGGAGCCCAGAGCCUGAAUCAGCAUGUGUGUUAGUGGAAGCGUCUGGAAAGGCGCGCGAUACAGGGUGACAGCCCCGUACACAAAAGCGCAUGUGCUGUGAGCUCGAUGAGUAGGGCGGGACACGUGGUAUCCUGUCUGAAUAUGGGGGGACCAUCCUCCAAGGCUAAAUACUCCUGACUGACCGAUAGUGAACCAGUACCGUGAGGGAAAGGCGAAAAGAACCCCGGCGAGGGGAGUGAAAAAGAACCUGAAACCGUGUACGUACAAGCAGUGGGAGCACAGGUUUACCUGUGUGACUGCGUACCUUUUGUAUAAUGGGUCAGCGACUUAUAUUCUGUAGCAAGGUUAACCGAAUAGGGGAGCCGUAGGGAAACCGAGUCUUAACCGGGCGUUAAGUUGCAGGGUAUAGACCCGAAACCCGGUGAUCUAGCCAUGGGCAGGUUGAAGGUUGGGUAACACUAACUGGAGGACCGAACCGACUAAUGUUGAAAAAUUAGCGGAUGACCUGUGGCUGGGGGUGAAAGGCCAAUCAAACCGGGAGAUAGCUGGUUCUCCCCGAAAGCUAUUUAGGUAGCGCCUCGUGAAUUCAUCUCCGGGGGUAGAGCACUGUUUCGGCUAGGGGGCCAUCCCGGCUUACCAACCCGAUGCAAACUGCGAAUACCGGAGAAUGUUAUCACGGGAGACACACGGCGGGUGCUAACGUCCGUCGUGAAGAGGGAAACAACCCAGACCGCCAGCUAAGGUCCCAAAGUCAUGGUUAAGUGGGAAACGAUGUGGGAAGGCCCAGACAGCCAGGAUGUUGGCUUAGAAGCAGCCAUCAUUUAAAGAAAGCGUAAUAGCUCACUGGUCGAGUCGGCCUGCGCGGAAGAUGUAACGGGGCUAAACCAUGCACCGAAGCUGCGGCAGCGAACGUAUCACUUAAAGCGAUUCAGCGGGUUACGAUUGACGGAGCGAAGCGACGUCAAAGCGUAUACAAAGUCGAGUCGGUUUAAGGAUACGUUCGUUGGGUAGGGGAGCGUUCUGUAAGCCUGUGAAGGUGUGUCGUGAGGCAUGCUGGAGGUAUCAGAAGUGCGAAUGCUGACAUAAGUAACGAUAAAGCGGGUGAAAAGCCCGCUCGCCGGAAGACCAAGGGUUCCUGUCCAACGUUAAUCGGGGCAGGGUGAGUCGACCCCUAAGGCGAGGCCGAAAGGCGUAGUCGAUGGGAAACGGGUUAAUAUUCCCGUACUUGGUGUUACUGCGAAGGGGGGACGGAGAAGGCUAUGUUGGCCGGGCGACGGUUGUCCCGGUUUAAGCGUGUAGGUGUGUGUUCCAGGUAAAUCCGGUUCACUUUAACACUGAGGCGUGACGACGAGGCACUACGGUGCUGAAGCAACAAAUGCCCUGCUUCCAGGAAAAGCCUCUAAGCAUCAGGUAACAUCAAAUCGUACCCCAAACCGACACAGGUGGUCAGGUAGAGAAUACCAAGGCGCUUGAGAGAACUCGGGUGAAGGAACUAGGCAAAAUGGUGCCGUAACUUCGGGAGAAGGCACGCUGACACGUAGGUGAAGUGAUUUACUCAUGGAGCUGAAGUCAGUCGAAGAUACCAGCUGGCUGCAACUGUUUAUUAAAAACACAGCACUGUGCAAACACGAAAGUGGACGUAUACGGUGUGACGCCUGCCCGGUGCCGGAAGGUUAAUUGAUGGGGUCAGCGCAAGCGAAGCUCCUGAUCGAAGCCCCGGUAAACGGCGGCCGUAACUAUAACGGUCCUAAGGUAGCGAAAUUCCUUGUCGGGUAAGUUCCGACCUGCACGAAUGGCGUAAUGAUGGCCAGGCUGUCUCCACCCGAGACUCAGUGAAAUUGAACUCGCUGUGAAGAUGCAGUGUACCCGCGGCAAGACGGAAAGACCCCGUGAACCUUUACUAUAGCUUGACACUGAACAUUGAGCCUUGAUGUGUAGGAUAGGUGGGAGGCUUUGAAGUGUGGACGCCAGUCUGCAUGGAGCCGACCUUGAAAUACCACCCUUUAAUGUUUGAUGUUCUAACGUGGACCCGUAAUCCGGGUUGCGGACAGUGUCUGGUGGGUAGUUUGACUGGGGCGGUCUCCUCCUAAAGAGUAACGGAGGAGCACGAAGGUUGGCUAAUCCUGGUCGGACAUCAGGAGGUUAGUGCAAUGGCAUAAGCCAGCUUGACUGCGAGCGUGACGGCGCGAGCAGGUGCGAAAGCAGGUCAUAGUGAUCCGGUGGUUCUGAAUGGAAGGGCCAUCGCUCAACGGAUAAAAGGUACUCCGGGGAUAACAGGCUGAUACCGCCCAAGAGUUCAUAUCGACGGCGGUGUUUGGCACCUCGAUGUCGGCUCAUCACAUCCUGGGGCUGAAGUAGGUCCCAAGGGUAUGGCUGUUCGCCAUUUAAAGUGGUACGCGAGCUGGGUUUAGAACGUCGUGAGACAGUUCGGUCCCUAUCUGCCGUGGGCGCUGGAGAACUGAGGGGGGCUGCUCCUAGUACGAGAGGACCGGAGUGGACGCAUCACUGGUGUUCGGGUUGUCAUGCCAAUGGCACUGCCCGGUAGCUAAAUGCGGAAGAGAUAAGUGCUGAAAGCAUCUAAGCACGAAACUUGCCCCGAGAUGAGUUCUCCCUGAGACUUAGAGUCUCCUGAAGGAACGUUGAAGACGACGACGUUGAUAGGCCGGGUGUGUAAGCGCAGCGAUGCGUUGAGCUAACCGGUACUAAUGAACCGUGAGGCUUAACCUU